Oncorhynchus mykiss (rainbow trout) is the source of this 5936-nucleotide long non-coding RNA. The record is from Ensembl. Lineage: Eukaryota; Metazoa; Chordata; Actinopteri; Salmoniformes; Salmonidae.
AUGCAUCCACUGGAAACGCAAAUGACUCCCAGUUUGAGGAGUGCGCGGAGAGAUUUCACCAAACUGCCUGCCUGCGGCGCGGCGGCUGGAGACGGGCGCUCACCGGGAUGGAUAAGAGUGCGAGAAGCAGGGUGGUUUCGGAGAACCAGGAGAAGAGAUGGAGCAGAAGGGAUGUCUGCAAACUGUCUGUUAUACAUAGGAAUGGUCUUACUUCUGUUGCAGUGUGCGCAGGCCACAGAGGAUGAGACGAACUACGACGCCUCUGGUUCUUCUGAUGUACCCAAUGACACAACAGCCUCCGCUUAUCCCAUUCACCCAUUGGCCGGCUUGCUGUUGGUGGAUGAGGAGCCUUUAUCAGUCGUCCAACCAGAUGGCAGGGCUGUGUCAGAGGGGGUGGGCCUGAGAGAGCAGCCUGCCUUCUCCUCCAUACUGACCCUGCUGGCGGACAAACACCCACUGAGCCUGGUCCGAUCCAAGGCCUCGCCAACCAUCACCAAGGAAAACAACCAAACCAGCCUGUGGCCUUCGGUUGCUCCCUUCUCUUCUUCUUCUUCUGUGGAGCCGAGCAGAGACCUGUCUGACAGCUCAGGUUUGACUCCCAGCAUGCUUCACCAGACCAGGGCGUCAUCAAUGUCAGUGUCAUCAGUGGCAAUGUCAUCGCCAUCAUCACGAUCAUCAUUAACAAUGUCAUCACCAUCAUCAUCAUCACCACCAUCAGCAGCAGCAAUAUCAUCAUCAUCACCACCAUCAUCAUCAUCAUCAGCAAUAUCAUCACUAUCACCAUCAUCACCAGUAUCAUCACUAUCACCAGCAUCCUCAUCUGAAUGGUUAAUAACAGCAGCCUUUGCUUUAUCCUAUGACAUCUCAAGCCCGUCUAACCCUGUCAGUGUGACACAAACUGCUUCAUCAGUGUCAUCUGUGUUUCCUCUGAAUAAAACAUCAUUGAAUCCCCCAAUCCAAUCCAGCAUUAGUUUAGAUGUAGAUAUAUUUACAGUCACAAAGAGCUUACCACUUCCCCUCUCUGACUCCACUCACCAAUCACUGACUGGAGGAGUGACCACAGAGACCAGUGGCACCAAAUCACAAGUCAGGACUCAGGACUCUGCAGCUCCAGCAUCGCUUCAAUCCCAUGACUUGUAUGGGACACAAAGGACAACAUCGUCAAACAAAAUAGACGCCAGCCCUUUCACAACAUGGAAACCAGCAAAGACAGAACCAAACCACUCCACCUCUACUAGUGUUACCUCUGGAAAUGUCCCUUUCAACGUUUCAGCCAGAACCAUCCGAUCAUCACACAGUCGCCGGACCAGGACUGUUCUCACUAACAACAGAGAGACAAGCUCUUUACUUCUCUCCUCUCCUGUCCAGGACAGUCAAGCUAAUCAAAGCCAACAGCGCGUAUUACAAACUGUCCGCUCAGCAUUGCUGUCACCUCCACCUACUCCCCCACAAGGAUAUUUAGUUCCUAGUCUCAUCACAGGGGAAUAUAUCAGUGCAACACCAAACAGGGCAAAAAGAGAUAAGACAUGGACAGGUAGUCAGACGGCUUUUAUAAGAAGCACCUGGCCUGUAGCAGUUACCUCACUGCCUUCUCAUGCUGUAGAUUCAAGUGUGUCGCCGGCUGUGACGACCAGAAUAUCGGCAACAUAUUUCCCUAUCUCAUCUAACACCUUACCAACCUUGUCAGAUACCGGCUCACCCCGCUCAGACACCACAGUGGCUAAGUUAACAGGCUCUUACUGGAGCACAGCAUCUCCUCAGAGCUCAACAUAUCCCAGUGAUUUAGUAACAGCCACAGGGCACACCAGCCCAAGCGCUCCUGACCCCAAUAGGAAUAAUGAUGAGGGAGGAAGAGCAGGAGGGGAAGUCAGCUUGGAUUCAACUGCUCAGACAAGAAGUCACCCCCUCAGUUACUCCAUUGUCACCUCUGUAUCUGGAACACUGAGUGACUCCACUCUCAGUUCUGUAUCUGGAACACUGAGUGACUCCACUCUCAGUUCUGAAUCUGGAACACUGAGUGACUCCACUCUCAGCUCUGUAUCUGGAACACUGAGUGACUCCACUCUCAGCUCUGUAUCUGGAACACUGAGUGACUCCAUUCUCAGCUCUGUAUCUGGAACACUGAGUGACUCCAUUCUCAGCUCUGUAUCUGGAACACUGAGUGACUCCAUUCUCAGCUCUGUAUCUGGAACACUGAGUGACUCCACUCUCAGUUCUGUAUCUGGAACACUGAGUGACUCCACUCUCAGCUCUGUAUCUGGAACACUGAGUGACUCCACUCUCAGCUCUGUAUCUGGAACACUGAGUGACUCCACUCUCAGCUCUGUAUCUGGAACACUGAGUGACUCCAUUCUCAGCUCUGUAUCUGGAACACUGAGUGACUCGCCCAUGUCUGCUAGUAGCGUAACCCUUGGAGAAGCAGGAUUGACCCCUCUAACCUCGCUGACUCCUUCUUUGAAUUCUGACACGGGCCUGAUGUCACUUGCUGUCACUGAUCCAUCAACUUUAGCUCAGCACCUGACACGGGCGUUAACCUCUCCCACCCUGCAUGCUAGUCCCUCAACAGUACCCCAGGUUCCCCAAUUCACCCUCUCCAUCAUCCUGACCACCAAGCACCCUUACUUUAACCCAACUGUCUCUAGUCUCCACAGAACUGAUGAUGCACCGACCCAGUCUGGCUCUAGAGGAACCACAUCUACACACAGACCUGUAGUGCUGUUAGCGACGCCUCGCGCUACCUCACCGUCAGCGACCCAGUUUCAAACAAGGCCAUUGUAUAUUUCUGUUAGCACAGGGUCUGAGGUAGGUUCCCCUGAUAUGACCCCUGAAAUGUCCCUAGAUAAGUCAGCUGAAAUGUCCCCUGUAAAUUCCUCUGAAAUGUCAACUGAAAUGUUAUCUGAAACGUCCCCUGAUACAGCAGAGAGAGACAUGUCCUCAACAUGGACCUCACUGUUUGUCGGCUCACCCGAUCCUACUGCGACAGGCGAGACAGAUCACACUUUUCAAACACACUCCACAGCCCAGGUCCACUCCACAGCCCAGGUCCACUCCACAUCCCAGGUCCACUCCACAGCCCAGGUCCACUCCACAGCCCAGGUCCACUCCACAUCCCAGGUCCACUCCACAUCCCAGGUCCACUCCACAGCCCAGGUCCACUCCACAGCCCAGGUCCACUCCAGUUCACCUGAACAUCUGACACCACUUGAUGCUUCUGCUGAUAUUACACACACGCCUGCUGAGAACACAGAGACUGGCUCAGUUUGGCCCCUUUCUGCUAUAGUUGAGGAUUCCUCCACUUACAUCACAGACCUAAGUGUUCAUGUUUAUAAGGGAACACCCCCAUUAAUGAGUUCUCCAACACCCUCCUCUUAUGUUACAGAGGACUCCUUGAUUUCCAGAGGGACUGACUCUGAAGGUUCUCCUUAUCCACGCCCCACUGAUAUCCCUGCAUAUGUUAACACUGCAGAGGCUGUUCCGACUCCUCUUAAACUUGUCUCCCACAGAACGAAAAGCACAACAAGGGGAAAAGAUGUUCUCUCUACAAUGUCAGAAAGUCCUACCGUCAUGAGGGAAUACCCUACUCCGUCACAGACACCAUUAAUAAGUGAGCAUAGUUCUCUUUCUCAUUCUGAUACAGACAGGAAAAUGGGCGUGUCCUCAACAACAUGGUCUACAUAUUUUAACACCAUAACCUCUGAUACAGGAGGACUUUCCACUAAAAGCCUGGGACUCAAUGGACGUAGAGGGUAUCUUUCUCUACCAUCUGUCUCCUCUCACUCACCUGAUAGAGCAUUCUCCCCUGGUGCAGCUACACUGAUGUCAAAUGGGAGAGAGGAUACCUUUGUUGGACACACAUCAGUCACAUAUUCUAAAGUGACACCAUUACCCAAGCCCUGGAGUUUGACACCAGCCAAUCUGGUGGCUUCUAUAUCCUCCACUACACAGAAGAGAACCACGGAGAACAACACUCCCCUGUUAGAGGGGGUAACAUCAGCAUUAUCAGUGUCCAUGCCAGAGAACAACACUCCCCUGUUAGAGGGGGUAACAUCACCAUUAUCAGUGUCCAUGCCAGUCUCUACCACACCUGAUAACUCUGUGACUAUUUCAGCCGUCAUCUACAUCUCAUCUGCCCAUCAGAGCAAGUAUACAGCGUCUGAGAGGAAUGUAAGUGUUAGCACGUCGGAGUCUGUCACUAUUUCUGACGCAACAGUUCUGAAUACCCCUGCACCCCAUGAACAUGUCAUUAUGGAUACGGGACAUACUAACUCAACAAUGAACGUACAAGUAGACUUGCCAUCAUCACCCUCAUCAUCAUCAUCAUCACUAUCAUUAUCAUCCUCACCAUCGUCAUCGUCAUCACCAUCAUCUUCAUCACCAUCUUCACGAUCAUCAUCAUCACCAUUUUCAUCAUCAGCAGCAGCAGCGAUAUCUUCAUCACCAUUGUCUUCAUCAUCUUCCGCCUUGUUAUCAAUGACAUCGUCAUCAUCCGUCGUGUCACACCAAUCUCACAUCACCAGUGUGUCCAGUCCCACCACAGCUCCCAGUCUGUCCUCCCUCUCCAUGGACCGUUCUGAUUCAACAUCAUCAUCCACUUCUGGGUUGACUGUGAUUUCACCAUCCCCAUCAAGUGUCUUCCCCUCCACUGGUAUGACGUCAUCACCCUCUGCCCUUUUGUCACCUGCUCUUACAUCAUCAUCCUCUGCCCUCAUGUCCCAUGGUGUGACUUCAUCACCCAGCUCCCUGGCAUCCAGCGUGACAUCAUCAUCCUCUGCCCUCAUGUCCCAUGGUGUGACUUCAUCACCCAGCUCCCUGGCAUCCAGCGUGACAUCAUCAUCCUCUGUCCACUUGUCCACUGGUAUGUCCUCUUCCUCCGCACUCAUGUCUCGUGGUGUUACAUCAUCAUUAAUUGCCCUGACAUCCAGUGUGACAUCAUCAUUCCCCUCCCAUCUCUCAGAGGAAGUGAGUGUGACUUCUGUUCUUGUUACAGAGACAGCGAUGGAGGAGUUAACCGUGGGAACAUCCAGAGAGACAGGGGUUAAUUUCCCCAAAGACAACGAGACCAGAUUAUCCCAAACAGGGAACCUCACCUUAGCUGACAGGCCUGCACUCACAACAUCACAGGUGUCACCUUUGACCCCCCGAGAGGACACAACGACUGCAUCCCUCCAGCUCACGACCGUGACCACCACAACCAUAGCUUCAACCACAACCACAACACAGCCAAUCACAGAAAGCCCAACCACGACAACAACACGCAGAACCACCACCACCACCACUGCUCCAGCCUCCAGGAGAACACUGUCACCUCCAAUCCCAAAGACCAAACCCAGAGGGACGACCACCCCGUUCCCCUUCACCACCACCACGGAGGCUCCACCCCGGCAGUGUAACGUCACAGAGAAGAUCUGGGUUAAAACAAGUAAGAGACACAGAAAAAAGAAUGCCAUGAACCUUUUCUCAACAGGUUGUUACAUUGUUGGUCGUAGUUGGGGUUAUGGUUUUAAAUACACAGAUAUAUAGUUGACUAUAUAUAGUUCUAUUUUCCAAAUAGAAUAUGCCUUCCCUCUCUUCUCUUCUCUUCCCUGCCUCCCUCUCUCUCUCUCUCUCCCCCCUCUCUCUGUCUCUCUCUCUCUCUCCCACCCCCCCCUCUCUCUCUCUCUCCCACCCCCCCCCCCCCCUCUCUCUCUCUCUCUCUCUCUCUCUCUCUCUCCCACCCCCCCCCCCCCCCCCCCCUCUCUCUCUCUCUCUCUCCCACCCCCCCCUCUCUCUCUCUCUCUCCCACCCCCUCUCUCUCUCCCUCUCAUAUGUUUGUCUCUACAGUUCUGACCAUCCAUGUGAGAAGGAACCGCCUGGACAGCAUUCAGAGACAGAACCUGCGUAGAGGGCUGACCCAGGCUCUGAGUAGAGCUCUGAAUGACACCACUGCCCAGGCUCAG